UGAGGAAUCUUGCGCAAUGGGGGAAACCCUGACGCAGCAACGCCGCGUGAGUGAGGAAGGUUUUCGAAUCGUAAAGCUCUGUCAGGUGGAAAGAAAUGCAUGGAAGUUAAUAGCUUCCAUGCUUGACGGUACCACCAGAGGAAGCACCGGCUAACUCCGUGCAAGCAGCCGCGGUAAUACGGGGGGUGCAAGCGUUGUUCGGAAUCAUUGGGCGUAAAGAGCGUGUAGGCGGCUUGAUAAGUCAGAUGUGAAAGCCCUGGGCUUAACCCAGGAAGUGCAUUUGAUACUGUUUAGCUAGAGUAAGGGAGAGGAAAGCGGAAUUCCUGGUGUAGAGGUGAAAUUCGUAGAUAUCAGGAGGAACACCGGUGGCGAAGGCGGCUUUCUGGCCCUAUACUGACGCUGAGACGCGAGAGCGUGGGUAGCAAACAG
Molecule: ribosomal RNA, 429 nt
Filed under: uncultured bacterium
Lineage: Bacteria
Description: bacterial SSU rRNA
Rfam family: Bacterial small subunit ribosomal RNA
Source: RNAcentral